RNAcentral lists this ribosomal RNA (566 nucleotides) under uncultured archaeon. RNAcentral's name for it is "bacterial SSU rRNA". It matches the Rfam family "Archaeal small subunit ribosomal RNA", at positions 326 to 894 of the family's 1478-position model. The record is from RNAcentral.
CGGGGUGCACCAGGCGCGAAAACUUUACAAUGCUGGCAACAGCGAUAAGGGGACCUCGAGUGCCAGGAUAUAAUCUUGGCUGUCGUGAUGCCUAAAAAGCAUUACAUAGCAAGGGCCGGGCAAGACCGGUGCCAGCCGCCGCGGUAACACCGGCGGCUCGAGUGGUAACCGCUAUUAUUGGGUCUAAAGGGUCUGUAGCCGGCCGGAUAAGUCUCUUGGGAAAUCCAGCAGCUCAACUGUUGGGCUUCCAGGGGAUACUGUUCGGCUCGAGGCCGGGAGAGGUGAGAGGUACUUCAGGGGUAGGGGUGAAAUCUUGUAAUCCUUGAAGGACCACCAGUGGCGAAGGCGUCUCACCAGAACGGUCCUGACGGCAAGGGACGAAAGCUAGGGGCACGAACCGGAUUAGAUACCCGGGUAGUCCUAGCCGUAAACGAUACUCGCUAGGUGUCAGCCACGGUGCGACCGUGGUUGGUGCCGUAGGGAAGCCGUGAAGCGAGCCACCUGGGAAGUACGGCCGCAAGGCUGAAACUUAAAGGAAUUGGCGGGGGAGCACAAGGGCGAUUCGC